RNAcentral lists this ribosomal RNA (482 nucleotides) under uncultured bacterium. RNAcentral describes it as "partial 16S ribosomal RNA". It matches the Rfam family "Bacterial small subunit ribosomal RNA", at positions 39 to 507 of the family's 1533-position model. The record is from RNAcentral.
GGGGGGGGGGGGGGGGGGGGGUGGGGGGUGGGGGGGGGAGGGUAAGGGGCGGCGAGGGGCUGACGAGGGGCGAACGGGUGAGUGAUGCAGAGGGAGGUGCCCGGGCGUGGGGGAUAACGACACGAAAGAGUAGCUAAUACCGCACACGAGGUAUGGAUGGAAGCGGGGGACCGUAAGGCCGAGCGAGAAUGGCGCGGCCGAUGUCAGAUUAGGUGGUUGGUGGGGUAAAGGCUCACCAAGCCAACGAUCUGUAGCUGGGCUGAGAGGACAACCAGCCACACUGGGACUGAGACACGGCCCAGACUCCUACGGGAGGCAGCAGUGGGGAAUUUUGGACAAUGGGCGCAAGCCUGAUCCAGCAAUGCCGCGUGCAGGAAGAAGGCCUUCGGGUUGUAAACUGCUUUUGUACGGAACGAAACCGCUCUGGUUAAUACCCGGGGCUAAUGACGGUACCGUAAGAAUAAGCACCGGCUAACUACGUG